This 94-nucleotide transfer RNA is filed under the name Desulfovibrio sp. Its description in RNAcentral is "tRNA-Ser". It matches the Rfam family "tRNA". Rfam says of the family: Transfer RNA (tRNA) molecules are approximately 80 nucleotides in length. Their secondary structure includes four short double-helical elements and three loops (D, anti-codon, and T loops). Further hydrogen bonds mediate the characteristic L-shaped molecular structure. tRNAs have two regions of fundamental functional importance: the anti-codon, which is responsible for specific mRNA codon recognition, and the 3' end, to which the tRNAs corresponding amino acid is attached (by aminoacyl-tRNA synthetases). tRNAs cope with the degeneracy of the genetic code in two manners: having more than one tRNA (with a specific anti-codon) for a particular amino acid; and 'wobble' base-pairing, i.e. permitting non-standard base-pairing at the 3rd anti-codon position. RNAcentral also lists the same sequence under 1 other name. The record is from RNAcentral. Lineage: Bacteria; Pseudomonadati; Thermodesulfobacteriota; Desulfovibrionia; Desulfovibrionales; Desulfovibrionaceae.
GGAGAGGUGGCCGAGCUGGCCGAAGGCGCUCGCCUGCUAAGCGGGUAUGGGCCUUAAAAGCCCAUCGAGGGUUCGAAUCCCUCCCUCUCCGCCA